AUGAUAGGAAAAAAGAUAGUAUCAAUCAAGAAACUAGCCAAAAAGGUGAAGCUUGUAGGUAGAGUUGACUCUGACCUUGCUCAAUACGGGUUGUUGAAGGAAUUUGAAGAAGAAGAUGAAGAAAAACACCCAAUUGGCAAAAAUAUUGAGUCCAAAAAACGUGCUGUUUUUGCACUAUAUGUUGGGGAGGAACGAGAGAGAUAUGUUAUGGUAUAA
Vicia faba (fava bean) is the source of this 216-nucleotide non-coding RNA. NCBI's taxonomy places the organism in Eukaryota, Viridiplantae, Streptophyta, Magnoliopsida, Fabales, Fabaceae. The record is from the annotation of a GenBank genome assembly.